Molecule: non-coding RNA, 1339 nt
Organism: Paramisgurnus dabryanus
Lineage: Eukaryota; Metazoa; Chordata; Actinopteri; Cypriniformes; Cobitidae
Source: RefSeq, a predicted model, not a curated record
UGAAGGUCAACUCAGAACUGCAGUGGAUUUAGGCCUUACAACCAACCAUUUACCCUGGAAACAUGAUAGCUGGAUCACAAAAAGUGUCUAAGGAAGAGUGAGUACAUUUAUGCAUCCAUUUUUUGUUCCUUCACAAACUUUAACAAAGAGUGUGCACACUGAAGAUUCUCAAAGGAAGUGGAUGUACAAGUUCUUCACUUCUCACAACUCCAGGAAGCUCCACUGAUCCAGCUCCAUGAGGGUAAAACUCUGUUGAAGGACAAAGAGGAAUUGUUUUAAUUCACUAUAACAGAAGUUUGCUUGUUUGUUUGUUGUUUUGGUUGAAGACAUUGCAAUGAUUCAGGGAGGCCACUAGAUGGGACUAAAGGAUAGAUUUCCUUUCCCCUCUUUUCUUUUAUAAGCCAAGGAUUUUGAAUCCAGGUGAGCAAUCUUUUGUUUAAUGAACCUUUUUGAUAACAGGAGCUGUUUUAACUUUCAAGGAGGAAAAUAACUUUUAAGAUUUAUUUGAUUUAAAAAGGCAGAAUUGUGUUUUUUUUCUUUUUUCUUUGUUUUUUCCCCCCCUUUUUUUUGAUUUUGUUUAGUGUUUUUCUGUGUGUGCUGCUGAUUUUCUUUACUUACCUUUGGAUUUGUGCUUUACUCCUUAGUAUAGAACCCUUAAUCAUGUCUCUUCCCCUCCAUAAUCGCUUUACGCCUCUGAUGGAUACCACAUCUUCAGGAAGAUGUAUCUGCUCGUGCCACUGAACCCAAUGUAGUUCUCCCUGCGCCUCCUGGUGUCAACUUGGCGUUGAUUCAGGUCCAUCGUGCAGCCUCCCCGCAGCCCCGUAGGGAUGAAACGGAGAAUAUAGAAUCUGAAACGAGUGAAACACAGGGUUCCUCGAACGACGGUAGGGGAGACCCCUGUAACGGUUAACAAAAAACAGGAGGGAGAGCGACAAAUGAUGACGGGUGAUAUGACAAGAGAGAUGUCUCUUGGAAUCAAACCCCAGUCUGAGUCCCUUUCACAUACCCCUGUGAUGAGCCCUCUGGGGGGUCCUGCCCCGUCCGUUCGUCAGGAACCUGUGAGGCACAGGAGAACAAACAGGAAAAUUUUCGAUUGGGAAAUUUCAAUUAACAAAAAAGUAGUAAUAAUGGGUGAUUCGAAUCUGUCCCGAGUUCCAUUCUUCACCCAUGCUGACGUACAAAUUGACAGCUUUCCUGGGGCCACCUUUUAUCACAUUAAUGGGGUGCUGGAAAAAUUAUCACCACAACUCUUUACGGAGGUUGUCGUUCUGUCAGUGGGACUUAAUAAUUGUCUGGCAAGACAGGAAACGACAACGUCAUGUAAACAGUUACAACAGUU